Long non-coding RNA from Motacilla alba alba, 2460 nucleotides. RefSeq lists it as uncharacterized. The record is from RefSeq and is a predicted model, not a curated record. The transcript has 2 exons. Lineage: Eukaryota; Metazoa; Chordata; Aves; Passeriformes; Motacillidae.
CCCAAGCAAAACAAAGCAAGAAAAAUCACCCUCCACUAGCGGCUUUAGCCGCAUUAAGAAAGUUUCCUCUCACAAUAGCAGCUGCAAAGUUGGCUGAUAGAUCGACUGGUAUUUGUGGCUAAAAUUCACAUAUUUAAAGCUGAAAUAAUGAAUGCGCCGAUUAUUCUACCACCACCGCUCCGCUCCCGAAAAAAUCCCACCCAAACAAACAGCGAACGGGCUCUGUCCGCCUCCGCGAAGCCCGAGCAUAACCAGAGCAUCGGCAGCAGCGGAGCGGGGCUUGGCUUUUGUCUCCCUACGCCUUCUUCCUUUCCUUCCAAACUUUUGGACGCUCUCUCCUAGCUGUAUUUAUAGACCUGGAGCACACGGCUGUAUUUUUCCUUAUGCCUCUUUUGGCUUGGGCUUAAGUCACCGGCGGGGAAAAUAAAAAAAAAAAAAAAAAAAAAGGAGGCAGGCAGGCAGGCAGGCAGACAAACGGGAGGACAGAAGGGGGGAAAGCUGAAAGUCCCGCAGGCGGGACGCGAAGGGAGGCUGGGGCAGGCGGCCGGAGAUGCGGGACUCCCUUGCUUCUAAUAGGCGAUAGAGAGGUAGGGGUGAAAGUCCGGCCCCGGCCUCCUGCGUGGGGAAAGGAAAGCCUCUUGCACCCGGGAAAGGGACAGGCCGGGACUGCCGCCCCAUCCCGAUGCAGAGGAGCCGAAUGAAGAACUUGUGUUUGUGUCCGGAGGAGGGGAGUGGGCGGCGGGAGAAGGAGAGGGGGGCACACACGACACAAAGUUUGUGUCGUAGAACCAGAUGAAAACCAGGUAAGUACGAGGGGAGCAAGGCUGCCGUCCAGUGCCGGCGAGACUGGAGAGCCGGAGCUCCGACCCGUCUGGCUGCGGCGGGCGGCGGCCCCGGGGGUUGGCCGCUGGCGGGGAUGCUAGGGCUGGCGGGACGGCGUAGCUGAGCCGGGAUGCUCGAGGGCUGUGGCCGGAGCCGCGGGGCAGAGUGGCAGCGUGCCCCGGCGCAGCGCAGCUCUUGGCGAGGACGGGCGCCGGGGAACAACGCUGCUCCGCUGGGCGACCGCCGGCUCUUGUUAAUACGUCGUCUCUACAGUGCUUUAAAGAUUCAAAUCCAAAAACAAACCCCAAGCCGCUCACGAAAAUAGGGAAGCACGCUUACUGGAAAAGAGGAAAGCUUCUCCUGCUUGCAGAAAAAGUGAUUGAGGGAUUAAAAACGUGGGUGUCAGGGGUUUUGAUGUUGUUGUUUUGCUUUUAUUUUCUCCUACAAUCUGCAGCUAAAGAAGUUCUCUUUUCCCGCACGGUGGAUGCUGAAAGUCUCUAACCAAAUAUCUCAGUAACGUGGAUGGUGUAAUUAUCAUGUUGUUAGGCAUCCCCUUAUUGACGUGCACCACACUUAGCGUCUGAUCUCCCAAAUAUACGUCAAAGCAGUUUCUCAGUUUCUGACAUGUUUAGAGAGCAGGUAUAUUUUGUCCGCACUUGCUGAACAGUUUCAGGGAGUUCCGUAUGCACUUGAUAAACAGCACUAAAAAUGUGAAUCCGAUUCAAACAUCACUUCAAAUAGCCCUAUUCCCCCCUCUUCCCCCUCCUUACUCCUCCCUUCCCAGUUGCAGUUCUGCAGCCACUGUUGCGGUUACAGUGUACUGUAAAGUGCGUUUAAAUGUUCUUCAACCCUGCCCCCUUCCAUCCCGCGUCCGCCGAGGAGUUCCAGAUGACGUUACUUCUGUGUACAUUUUAAAAACCUGUCUCGGUAUUUAGCUACAAACCGUCCAACCUAGAUGCAAGUAAUGUUAUAAAGGGACAUGACAAAGUAGAAGAGAAGGGAAGGGAAAGGGAGAUAGGCACUUCUGUGAAAUGAUGCUUCCUUAAGAGAGAAUUACAUUGAUCAAGACUUUAAAAGCUAGUAUCCUUGAGGUCAUAAUGCUGUACACAUUUCUGUGCAUGCACGGGUAUAGUCUGAGGUGUAGGAGUUAUUACAGGAGUUUUGAAUUUCCUGGCUGCAGAUUUAGAAAGUUCUUUUAUCAGUUGCGUCUGGACACACGAAUGCAUUAGCAAAACCACUGCAUUGAAUCAAGUGCCUGAACGUUGCGAUCUUCUUCACAGGAUUUUCUGUACCACCAGAGUAUAGCCGGGCAGGAUGCCCUCCUUGGCCAGAGGCCAGUGGCUGAACGAAGUCAAGUGAAUAAAAUAAGAGCAAAGUAGGGUUCUUUGCAAAACGAGGGUGAAAUGUACGUACAGGGAGCAUCUAGAAAAGAAAAAAAUCCGAGUUUUGUAGCUCCAAAUCAUUACAUUCUCAGCAACAGAACACCGUCAUUAUUCAGGAACGAAAGGGGAAAAAUCCUGGUCAUAUAGUGAUUAUUGUUACGACAAGGACCAAUAACGUCUUUGUUAUAAAAACAGUGUUUGUUAUGAAGAAAUUGGCUGAGCAGCCAUCCAGAUAAAUAUGCCCUGUGCCUAACAA